This is a long non-coding RNA of Spinacia oleracea (spinach), 966 nucleotides long. RefSeq lists it as uncharacterized. The transcript is spliced from 2 exons. The record is from RefSeq and is a predicted model, not a curated record. Lineage: Eukaryota; Viridiplantae; Streptophyta; Magnoliopsida; Caryophyllales; Amaranthaceae.
ACUCACAUUUUGAACACUAUGCUUAGUAAUAGUGUUUUGAGUCACAAAUACAUGAAAUUCACUAUUCCUAAGGAAAUUUUUUGCUUUCCUUCCCUUUGCAAGCUCUAUAAUGCUUGUUCAAUCAACCAAGGUUCAAACCUUGUUGCUUGCAUAUUUCCACAUUUAUUGUUUCACUUACUAUCUUUUUUGUUUUCUGAUUCCUAAGAAAUUUGUUUCUUUCUCCUAAUUUAUUACAUUCCUCUCUCCUCUGGUUUUCCUUUCCUUUUUCCUUUUGCCUCUGCUUCUCCGCUCGUUUAUUCGUCUUCCCCUUACUCUGUUUUUACUUUUGUGCGGCGCCGGUGUUCGUCUACGACGACCGGAACCCUUCCUGUCUGUGGGAAGAAUUGAAUUGCUUAUUCUGUGAUUAAUUGGUUAGUUAGGCAAAUCCUAAUUCCUAAUUGAUCAUUCAAUGGGUCAAUAAUUCAUUUUUUUCCACAUGCUUGAAUGAUUUCCGGUUAGUAUGGAGGUUUGAUCGACAGCCAGUAAGUAGCCUGUUAGCAGGAUGAUGGAGCGACCUUUGAAAAGGUCCAGGAGAUGCUCAAGUCCACCCACUUUCUGCUGGAAAUUGGCCCAAAGGAGCCUUUCAAAGAACGGUGUUCUUGAAUGGUGCUUGAAAUCGGUACUUGUAAGAUAUAGGUAGCCUUAUGCUUAGCCUAGAAUCGAACCCUUUAGUAUUUGCACGUAAUAUGUUUAUGGCUCCUACACUUCUUGCCAACAAAAUUAGUUUCUGUUGCGAUAGUAUAGAAGGUGGGAAUGUAGGCUCAUUACCUAGAGAUUUUUGAAGGGAACAAGCUCGUAGUGCAGUGUUCUCAACAAAUACCCCUUAAAUAUUUUGUAACAUGAACAUAACUACUCUUGUACAUAUUAUGACUCGGGCACUAUGCCGAGUUCUUUAUGUUCUGAUUUGCAAUGCUGAUUUCAGGAAUA